This 1969-nucleotide long non-coding RNA is filed under the name Lonchura striata (white-rumped munia). RNAcentral describes it as "domestica (Bengalese finch) lncRNA (ENSLSDG00000015088.1)". Lineage: Eukaryota; Metazoa; Chordata; Aves; Passeriformes; Estrildidae. The record is from RNAcentral.
GUGAUCCUUGAAUAUCACCUUGGAUCCCUUUAGUCUGCAGGGCCUGUUCUCAUGUGCUUCUUUCAAGAAGGUCCCUGGAGAGACUGCAGUUUGCUCUCAAGAGGUCUGUGGUUGUAAUCUUGCUUGGUGCCCUGCUUUUUCCUCACCCCCAGCUGAACUCCACAAUCUCAUUCAUAGGCAGUGCAGCCAAGGGUGACCUCAGGCUCACAUCUCCAACAAGGCCUUCCCUGAGUAAGGUUGAGCAGCAUGCUGUUCCUUGUGGGAUCCUCCACUGCCUGUGACAGCAAGUUUUCAUGAAUGCUUUCCAUAAACAUCCUGUACUGUCUUGCUUCUCUAGCUGAUGGCAGGGAAGCUAAAGUUCCCCACAAGAACCAGGGCCUGUGACUCUGAGGUUGCUUUAUGUUGCCUUAGAAAGCCUUCUACUUCUCCUCCUGUUUAGGUGGCCUCUAGCAAACACCCACAGCAAUGUCAUCCUUCCUUGUCUGUCCUUUAAUUCUGACCCAUAAGCUCUGGACUCACUCAUCAUCUACCCCAGACAAAGCUUGACACAUUCUAAAUGUUGCCUAAUAUAGUGGUCAACUCUAUCAGUUGAGUUGGAGUUGACCAACUCUGAGGCACCCAAGGGAUAUGAAUGUCUCUCAUGGUAUCUGUUGGCCUUGUGCUACAGGCUAACUCUGUCUCUGGAAGAAAAGGAUCUGAGCCUCAGAACCCUGGAAGAAAACAACCUGGCCCAGAUCAAUCAGGUGUCUCAGCUUCGUUCUGCCCUUACCCAGGCUGAGGAGCUCCACUCAGAGCAUAGAAGAGAAAUGCAAGAGCUCAGCACCCAGAUCCAGGCCCUGCAGGACACACUGCUGCAGAUGGAGGCUUCCCAGGCAACUCGAGAGCAGCAGCUGCUGCAGGAACUGGAGGAGUCUCGAGCAGGAGAAUGUGCCUUGAGGGACUCUGUGGACGUGCUGGAGGCUGAGGUGUCUGAGCUGCGUGUGAGGCUCCAGAGCUCCGAGAACAGAGCAGAGACCUUGGCCAUACAGUGUCAACAGGCCAGUGAUGCCCACCAGGAAACUCAAUCCCAGCUGGACAAACUGCUGUUGGCUCUCCACCAGAUGAUCAGGGACAGCAGAGACUUGGUCACUUGGAGCUCUGAAGAGGGUCAUGUCAUGGGUCUAACUGCUUCUCAGGCUGGAGAUGUCCCUGCAGAGCUCACAGUGGACAGAGUGGCAGCAGCUCUGCAACACCUGCAGCAGCACCUGGAACAUUCCCAGAAAGAUCUGAAUGAUGCAAGGAACAAGAUACAGGCCUUGGAACUGGAGCUGAGCACAGGGCAGGAUCAGAUAGACAAUCUCAGAGCCAGCAAUCAGGAGCUGCAGAUACAGUUGCAUGAAAGUCAGACAGCAAUGUUGAGGGCAGAGCACCAGAAGACCUCUCUAGAAAAUGCCUUGAAGGAAGAGACCAUUGCCUUGCAGGAAGAGGCUGUGACUCUUCGUCAGGAGGUGGCAUCUCUGAAGAGGAAAUUGGAAAACCUGGAGAAGGAAAGGAAGGAUGUGCUGGUGAGAUUGGCAGAUGCCACAGAGGGCCAUUUCCUAGCUAUGUUUGGACCUUGUGUUAAUAGUUCUAAGGAACAGCUUUUUCCAGUUAAACUCUUCUAACUACAUUCUUCUGAAUAAGGAAGAAAAGAUGUUGUAGUCAUGCCAAAGCAAAUUAAUGCUAGGGCUGCUGAUUUUCCUCCAUGCUGGGCUUCUGUGCCCUAGAAGCUUUAGUUCUCAAUAUCCACAAUCUCUCUAUGGACAUUGCAUGGUUUGGGGAAUUCCUUGUGUCCAAACCCACGUCCAGAUUCCUAAAUAUAUGCAAGGGAAAGAGGGGUGAGUUGACCAAGUUUGCUGUUAAUAGAAAGGUGUUUGGCCUUGGCCAUCUGAGAGCAGCCAGUGGGGAGAGAAGAGAGGAAAGCCAAGUGCUGAUCCACACCAGGACGUGU